RNAcentral lists this ribosomal RNA (398 nucleotides) under Phaeophyceae sp. Its description in RNAcentral is "SSU rRNA". It matches the Rfam family "Eukaryotic small subunit ribosomal RNA", at positions 1 to 400 of the family's 1831-position model. Lineage: Eukaryota; Phaeophyceae. The record is from RNAcentral.
UCUGGUUGAUCCUGCCAGUAGUCAUACGCUUGUCUCAAAGAUUAAGCCAUGCAUGUCUAAGUAUAAGCGCUUUAUACUGUGAAACUGCGAAUGGCUCAUUAUAUCAGUCAUAAUUUAUUUGAAAGUCCCUUACUACAUGGAUAACCGUAGUAAUUCUAGAGCUAAUACAUGCAUAAAAGCCCAACUGCUUCGGCGGACGGGUUGCAUUGAUUAGACCGAAACCAAUGCGUCUUCGGACGGUUUUGUGGUGAAUCAUAAUCACUUGCGGAUCGCACGCUUCGGCGGCGACGUUUCAUUCAAGUUUCUGCCCUAUCAGCUUUGGAUGGUAGGGUAUUUUCCUUCCAUGGCUUUAACGGGUACCGGGGAAUUGGGGUUCGAUUCCGGAGAGGGAGCCUGAG